RNAcentral lists this ribosomal RNA (23 nucleotides) under uncultured Glomus. RNAcentral describes it as "partial 28S ribosomal RNA". The record is from RNAcentral. Lineage: Eukaryota; Fungi; Glomeromycota; Glomeromycetes; Glomerales; Glomeraceae.
GACCUCAAUCAGGNGGAGCCCCA